This 2456-nucleotide long non-coding RNA is filed under the name Octopus sinensis (East Asian common octopus). Its description in RNAcentral is "uncharacterized LOC118762394". The record is from RNAcentral. Lineage: Eukaryota; Metazoa; Mollusca; Cephalopoda; Octopoda; Octopodidae.
GAAGUUUUGAUCAGAACAUCCCAGGAGUAUCUUUCAUCUCAUAGAUAUAAUGUGCGGGCUUUGAAACAACUUAUGAAGUGAAUCCCAUAUUCGAUAUUCAUUCAACAGAGUCUUUGCUGAUUGUACUACAUUGGUAUUUUAGAAAGAAUCAGGCAAAGGAUGAUCUGACAGUCAAAGACUAUUUAUACCAAUAUUAAAUCUCAACUUUGCUUUCGUUUUAAUUUAGUACAUAAAGAACUACUUAGUACUUUGUUGCCUACCCUUAAUAUAGUUUCUUUUGUGGAGGCAAUAGUUUAUUGUGUGAUCAAUAGUAUAGAGCAAACAACAUUUGCUGAGAUCACUAACCAAUAUUGAUAUAGAUCAGUGGGAUAUUAUUGUUAUAGUUACAAAUCAUAUCUAUGUUAUUUGUUACACCCCAACCAAAGUGACACUUUACAAAGUAUUUAAAUAAAUUCUAGAAACUAACUUUGUUUACACACAACCGCGAGGUUAAAAACAGGGAUUUGGGGGUUUAUGGCAAAUAUGACAUUUCGUUUUGCUUUUUGCUUUGUUUUAUUUUUGUUUUGUUUUUUCGAUAUAAAUUUCGGGCUUUGAAAGAAUAUUUUGUCCUCCACUUGCUCUGUUUUAAAACACUGACUUCCUUACAUACGAGGUUAUUUUUGUGAACAGACGUGUUAUACCUACACAGUAUAUUAUGGUAUUUUACUUCAUUCAACAAGGGAAGAGGAAAAACUGAAUAGUGUGAAAUGUUUUGAAUUGAUAAAGAAAAAACCAAAAAUAUGGGUGUGAGACAUUUUGCCACAGCUGCUUUGACACUAUAUAUUUGGCGUCGCAGACUCGACACCGACGCAUUGGACAUCAGAUGUUUAAAUGUUUUGCUUUCUAUCUAUCUCUCGCUCUCACUUUCACUCUCCCCUUCUCUCUUAUCUUCCUUUCUCCCUCAUCUCCCUUUCUCUCUCUCUUAUCUCCGUCUCUCUUUUCUCUCUUUCUCUCUCUCUCGCUUUCAUCUCUUUAUUUACGUGUGUGAGCAUAUUUCACUCUGUGUAUAAGGAGAGGGAAAGUUUUUAUAUCAACCGUAUUCAGUUAAUAAAUUACAUUCCCUCUUCGCCUCUGUUUCCCUCCCUUCUCUCUCCCACCUCUCUCCUUCUUUCUCUUACGCUUUGUUAGCGUUCAUUUCUACUCUCUCACGCGCAUGUGUGAGCCUCCAGCGCCAAAAAGUACCGUCACCCGAACAGGCCCUACCAUGCUCCCAAACGUCUCACUACGACCAAAUACCGCAAAGAACCGACCUCACAUUCAAACGAAGACCAGGUUAAAGCUACCAAUUAGCAAAAAGGAGUUCUCGUUAAAGCAAUCGACUUAAUCAACUCCUUGUACAAUUGAACAAGACUCUAAGGACCCUCUAUGUGGCGACCUACUUACAGGAAAUACCAUCCAGAUCCCUCACAGAUUACAAUCGAUAGCCUUGAAAAUAUUCUCCGAGAAUAGCGAUGUCUAAGCCACAGUAAGCUUGACAAAACGAUUGGAAAAUCGACGCAGAGUGGUUCGUUUUAUAUCUAUUUGAUUACCACAGUCGACUGAAGCCUGGAUGAUUAGAACCGGGACAAAUUAACAAUUGAAUAGUUUGUAUGUCGUGAUAUUUCUGUUCAUGGUAUUGUAUUGAUGUGAAUGCCUUUUAUCGGGGGAUUAGUGACCAGAACAAAAUUAAUUGGUUGAAGAUACUAGCAUUAAAGCCAACACUCCGAACAGGUUCACUAAACUAAAUGCUGCUCUACACCGCACUACAACAAUCGACUUCAAUAAUUCAAUAACUUCAUUCUGUAAGCAUGGCUACUCUUCCGGUUCAGCUAUUGCGAUCAAUUUGUUAGAAAUGCACCUUGUUACCCGGUUUAGGUCUGUUUUGCAUAUUUCUGAAUACAAUUAACAGCGAGCUUAUUAUUAAGUUAUUUGGCAGUAAAUUAAUAAAACAGCUAGUGUUAUAGCUCAUUAAUAAAAUGAGAUGUAGACUUCACAUACAAUGGUUAUAACAUGCAAGAAAAUAUAGCUUUGUGUGUGAGGUGUCCAUGGAUGUGUUGGCGUAAACACACACACACACGCACAUAUACUCACAUAUACAGACACACGUACAUCCAUACAAGCAUACAUAUGUGUAUGCAUGUGUGUGUGUGUGUGGUGUAAUAUCGUGCAAAGAUUACUCUGUGUCGCUAAGCUAAUCCGACUUAUGGGGGAUUCCUGGUUCAUCACGCAACCUCGGCUCAGUAUUACAAAGUUCAAUACAUAUGUGUGACAGAUAUUCUGUAUAUGGGUGUGGUGAUUGGCAGGAUAAGAUGGACAAUGUUCAUGAUGAAUUCUUAAGAAAAAUGACGAUAAUUAAUAUUCGUCUAUUCCUGGCAAUAAAAGAUAAGAAAGAAAAAUAUUAAAAAAAAGAAAAAGAAAAUGAAAAUUAUCACAAAAAU